GCACUCGUGGCGAAAUGGCAGACGCGCAUGCUUCAGGAGCAUGUCCGCUCACGCGGGUGGAGGUUCAAGUCCUCUCGAGUGCACCA
This 86-nucleotide transfer RNA is filed under the name Candidatus Peregrinibacteria bacterium. RNAcentral's name for it is "tRNA-Leu". It matches the Rfam family "tRNA". Rfam says of the family: Transfer RNA (tRNA) molecules are approximately 80 nucleotides in length. Their secondary structure includes four short double-helical elements and three loops (D, anti-codon, and T loops). Further hydrogen bonds mediate the characteristic L-shaped molecular structure. tRNAs have two regions of fundamental functional importance: the anti-codon, which is responsible for specific mRNA codon recognition, and the 3' end, to which the tRNAs corresponding amino acid is attached (by aminoacyl-tRNA synthetases). tRNAs cope with the degeneracy of the genetic code in two manners: having more than one tRNA (with a specific anti-codon) for a particular amino acid; and 'wobble' base-pairing, i.e. permitting non-standard base-pairing at the 3rd anti-codon position. The record is from RNAcentral. Lineage: Bacteria; Candidatus Peregrinibacteriota.